This 2934-nucleotide ribosomal RNA is filed under the name Priestia megaterium. RNAcentral's name for it is "bacterial LSU rRNA". It matches the Rfam family "Bacterial large subunit ribosomal RNA". Lineage: Bacteria; Bacillati; Bacillota; Bacilli; Caryophanales; Bacillaceae. The record is from RNAcentral.
UUAAGUUAGAAAGGGCGCACGGUGAAUGCCUUGGCACUAGGAGCCGAUGAAGGACGGGACUAACACCGAUAUGCUUCGGGGAGCUGUAAGUGAGCUUUGAUCCGGAGAUUUCCCAAUGGGGAAACCCACUGUUCGUAAUGGAACAGUAUCUUUAUCUGAAUACAUAGGAUAUUGAAGGCAGACCCGGGGAACUGAAACAUCUAAGUACCCGGAGGAAGAGAAAGCAAAUGCGAUUUCCUGAGUAGCGGCGAGCGAAACGGAAUUAGCCCAAACCAAGAGGCUUGCCUCUUGGGGUUGUAGGACACUCUAUACGGAGUUACAAAGGAACGAAGUAAAUGAAGCGACCUGGAAAGGUCCGUCGAAGAAGGUAACAACCCUGUAGUUGAAACUUCGUUCCCUCUUGAGUGGAUCCUGAGUACGGCGGAACACGUGAAAUUCCGUCGGAAGCUGGGAGGACCAUCUCCCAAGGCUAAAUACUACCUAGUGACCGAUAGUGAACCAGUACCGUGAGGGAAAGGUGAAAAGCACCCCGGAAGGGGAGUGAAAGAGAUCCUGAAACCGUGUGCCUACAAGUAGUCAGAGCCCGUUAACGGGUGAUGGCGUGCCUUUUGUAGAAUGAACCGGCGAGUUACGAUCCCAUGCAAGGUUAAGCUGAUAAGGCGGAGCCGUAGCGAAAGCGAGUCUGAAUAGGGCGUUUAGUAUGUGGUUGUAGACCCGAAACCAGGUGAUCUACCCAUGUCCAGGGUGAAGUUCAGGUAACACUGAAUGGAGGCCCGAACCCACGCACGUUGAAAAGUGCGGGGAUGAGGUGUGGGUAGCGGAGAAAUUCCAAUCGAACCUGGAGAUAGCUGGUUCUCUCCGAAAUAGCUUUAGGGCUAGCCUCAUGUUGUGAGAGUCUUGGAGGUAGAGCACUGAUUGGACUAGGGGCCCCCAACGGGUUACCGAAUUCAGUCAAACUCCGAAUGCCAAAGACUUAUCCAUGGGAGUCAGACUGCGAGUGAUAAGAUCCGUAGUCAAAAGGGAAACAGCCCAGACCACCAGCUAAGGUCCCCAAGUAUACGUUAAGUGGAAAAGGAUGUGGAGUUGCUUAGACAACCAGGAUGUUGGCUUAGAAGCAGCCACCAUUUAAAGAGUGCGUAAUAGCUCACUGAUCGAGUGACUCUGCGCCGAAAAUGUACCGGGGCUAAACGUAUCACCGAAGCUGUGGAUUGACAUCUUUGAUGUCAGUGGUAGGAGAGCGUUCUAAGUGCUGUGAAGUCAGACCGUAAGGACUGGUGGAGCGCUUAGAAGUGAGAAUGCCGGUAUGAGUAGCGAAAGACAAGUGAGAAUCUUGUCCACCGAAUGCCUAAGGUUUCCUGAGGAAGGCUCGUCCGCUCAGGGUUAGUCGGGACCUAAGCCGAGGCUGAAAAGCGUAGGCGAUGGCCAACAGGUUGAUAUUCCUGUACCACCUCCCCGCCGUUUGAGUAAUGGGGGGACGCAGUAGGAUAGGGUAAGCGCGCUGCUGGAUAUGCGCGUUCAAGCAGUUAGGCUGAUGAGUAGGCAAAUCCGCUCAUCAUAAAGGCUGAGCUGUGAUGACGAGGGAAUUAUAGUACCGAAGUUCCUGAUUCCACACUGCCAAGAAAAGCCUCUAGCGAGGCGGGAGGUGCCCGUACCGCAAACCGACACAGGUAGGCGAGGAGAGAAUCCUAAGGUGAUCGAGAGAACUCUCGUUAAGGAACUCGGCAAAAUGACCCCGUAACUUCGGGAGAAGGGGUGCUCUGGUAGGGUGUAUAGCCCGAGAGAGCCGCAGUGAAUAGGCCCAGGCGACUGUUUAGCAAAAACACAGGUCUCUGCGAAGCCGCAAGGCGAAGUAUAGGGGCUGACGCCUGCCCGGUGCUGGAAGGUUAAGAGGAGGGGUUAUCCUUUGGGAGAAGCUCUGAAUCGAAGCCCCAGUAAACGGCGGCCGUAACUAUAACGGUCCUAAGGUAGCGAAAUUCCUUGUCGGGUAAGUUCCGACCCGCACGAAAGGCGUAACGAUCUGGGCACUGUCUCAACGAGAGACUCGGUGAAAUUAUAGUACCUGUGAAGAUGCAGGUUACCCGCGACAGGACGGAAAGACCCCGUGGAGCUUUACUGUAGCCUGAUAUUGAAUUUUGGUACAGCUUGUACAGGAUAGGUAGGAGCCUGAGAAGCCGGAGCGCUAGCUUCGGUGGAGGCGUCGGUGGGAUACUACCCUGGCUGUAUUGAAAUUCUAACCCGCGGCCCUGAUCGGGCCGGGAGACAGUGUCAGGUGGGCAGUUUGACUGGGGCGGUCGCCUCCUAAAAUGUAACGGAGGCGCCCAAAGGUUCCCUCAGAAUGGUUGGAAAUCAUUCGUAGAGUGUAAAGGCACAAGGGAGCUUGACUGCGAGACCUACAAGUCGAGCAGGGACGAAAGUCGGGCUUAGUGAUCCGGUGGUUCCGCAUGGAAGGGCCAUCGCUCAACGGAUAAAAGCUACCCCGGGGAUAACAGGCUUAUCUCCCCCAAGAGUCCACAUCGACGGGGAGGUUUGGCACCUCGAUGUCGGCUCAUCGCAUCCUGGGGCUGUAGUCGGUCCCAAGGGUUGGGCUGUUCGCCCAUUAAAGCGGUACGCGAGCUGGGUUCAGAACGUCGUGAGACAGUUCGGUCCCUAUCCGUCGUGGGCGUAGGAAAUUUGAGAGGAGCUGUCCUUAGUACGAGAGGACCGGGAUGGACACACCGCUGGUGUACCAGUUGUCUUGCCAAAGGCAUCGCUGGGUAGCUAUGUGUGGACGGGAUAAGUGCUGAAAGCAUCUAAGCAUGAAGCCCCCCUCAAGAUGAGAUUUCCCAUAGCGCAAGCUAGUAAGAUCCCUGAAAGAUGAUCAGGUUGAUAGGUCAGAGGUGGAAGCGUGGCGACAUGUGUAGCUGACUGAUACUAAUCGAUCGAGGACUUAACCAA